CUGAGUGAAAUGUGGCACAGGUGCAGGCCUCUGGGAAGAGAGGAGUGUCUGGUCGGCAGCGCGCUGCCCUCAAGGGGCCUCCUUGAAGGCGAUACAACUAAUGACGAUACCAAUUAACAACGAUGACAAUACUGACGAUGACAAUAACAGUAACAAAUCCAAACAAGAGGCUUGCAUCUAUCAAAUAGCAGCGACCACCACGAAUCGCGUCCCCACGGGGCCGCCACAAAGGAGACUGCACUGGCCGGGCCACUACGGCUCUCGCAGCGCCCCUGGAGGCCCCCUUCCUGCCUUGCCCAGAGGGGCGGGGCGAAGGCUGGGGCGGGGCCGGACCGAGGGCGGGGCUCCAGGCCGGCAGCAGAGGGUGGGGCCGAGGAGGAGGAGAAGGAGGUGAAGGAGGUGAAAGAGGUGGGGGCCGGCGGGUGGCUGGGCGGGGCGCUUUCGGGCCUCCCCUUUUCACGCGGAGCAUUCGUAGCCUUAGAGUCCGCGCCGCGGGGAGCUCUGGAGGUGAGCGCUGCCCGCGAGCCGAAGCAGCCGCCCGAGGAGGAGUUGUGGGCACCAAGGUGGAAGGAACAAGACUGCUUUGGGGAACCCAGAAGCCAGAAGGCAGGAACAUGGAGAGUGAUGACACAAAAUGAAGCUAGGAAGGUAGGCAGAGGCUAUCUACUGGCAGUGGUUUUCAGUCCAAUCUGCUUGUCAGAACCAACAGAAGAAUUUAAAACAAGACCCAUGCCUGGGCCCUCCUCCACGUCUAUUAAAUCACAGCAGUUUUGGUGGGUUCGCCUCCCUCCCCCAGCCACCAUUUUUCCUGUCUUCCAAAGGGAUAACCCACUGAUACUAGUUUUGUAUAUCAUUGUAGACAAUUUUUGUGGGCAUUCAAGGAAAUACAUAUCUUUUCUCUUGUUGUUUUACACAAAUGGUAGCAUACUGUACACUCUUAACAAUGUAUUUGGAAUAUUUCCAUUUCAAUAUAUAGUUUCCUUAUUUUUUAAAAAAAUAACUGCAGUAUUUCACGAUAUGGAUAUAUCACCGAUUAUUUAA
Molecule: long non-coding RNA, 1041 nt
Filed under: Callithrix jacchus (white-tufted-ear marmoset)
Lineage: Eukaryota; Metazoa; Chordata; Mammalia; Primates; Cebidae
Description: lncRNA (ENSCJAG00000078166.1)
Source: RNAcentral